UCGGGAAUUUUGGGCAAUGGGGGAAACCCUGACCCAGCAACGCCGCGUGAAGGAUGAAGUAUUUCGGUAUGUAAACUUCGAAAGAAUAGGAAGAAUAAAUGACGAUACUAUUUAUAAGGUCCGGCUAACUACGUGCCAGCAGCCGCGGUAAUACGUAGGGACCAAGCGUUGUUCGGAUUUACUGGGCGUAAAGGGCGCGUAGGCGGCAUGACAAGUCACUUGUGAAAUCUCUGGGCUUAACCCAGAACGGCCAAGUGAUACUGUCGCGCUAGAGUGCAGAAGGGGCAAUCGGAAUUCUUGGUGUAGCGGUGAAAUGCGUAGAUAUCAAGAGGAACAC
This 337-nucleotide ribosomal RNA is filed under the name uncultured bacterium. Its description in RNAcentral is "bacterial SSU rRNA". It matches the Rfam family "Bacterial small subunit ribosomal RNA", at positions 355 to 709 of the family's 1533-position model. The record is from RNAcentral.